This 254-nucleotide ribosomal RNA is filed under the name uncultured bacterium. RNAcentral describes it as "partial 16S ribosomal RNA". It matches the Rfam family "Bacterial small subunit ribosomal RNA", at positions 107 to 354 of the family's 1533-position model. The record is from RNAcentral.
UGAGUAACACGUGAGUGACCUGCCUUUUAGACUGGAACAACUUACCGAAAGGUGAGCUAAUGCCGGAUGAGUUAUAUAAGUGCAUGUUUAUAUAGGAAAAGUUGGGGAGACCUGACGCUGAAAGAUGGACUCGCGUCCCAUUAGCUAGUUGGUAGGGUAAUGGCCUACCAAGGCGACGACGGGUAGCCGGCCUGAGAGGGUGGCCGGCCACACUGGGACUGAGACACGGCCCAGACUCCUACGGAAGGCAGCAG